RNAcentral lists this ribosomal RNA (201 nucleotides) under uncultured bacterium. Its description in RNAcentral is "partial 16S ribosomal RNA". It matches the Rfam family "Bacterial small subunit ribosomal RNA", at positions 1300 to 1500 of the family's 1533-position model. The record is from RNAcentral.
GUAGUCUGCAACCCGACUACACGAAGCCGGAAUCGCUAGUAAUCGCGGAUCAGAAUGCCGCGGUGAAUACGUUCCCGGGUCUUGUACACACCGCCCGUCACACCAUGGGAGUCGGAAAUGCCCGAAGUCAGUGACCCAACCGGAAGGAAGGAGCUGCCGAAGGUGGAGCCGGUAACUGGGGUGAAGUCGUAACAAGGUACC